GACGAACGCUGGCGGCGUGCCUAAUACAUGCAAGUCGAACGAGAGCGACCGGUGCUUGCACUGGUCAAUCUAGUGGCGAACGGGUGAGUAACACGUGGGUAACCUACCCAUCAGAGGGGGAUAACAUCCGGAAACGGAUGCUAAAACCGCAUAGGUCUUCGAACCGCAUGGUUUGAAGAGGAAAAGAGGCGCAAGCUUCUGCUGAUGGAUGGACCCGCGGUGCAUUAGCUAGUUGGUGAGGUAACGGCUCACCAAGGCCGUGAUGCAUAGCCGACCUGAGAGGGUGAUCGGCCACAUUGGGACUGAGACACGGCCCAAACUCCUACGGGAGGCAGCAGUAGGGAAUCUUCCGCAAUGGACGCAAGUCUGACGGAGCAACGCCGCGUGAGUGAAGAAGGUUUUCGGAUCGUAAAACUCUGUUGUUAGAGAAGAACAAGUGCUAGAGUAACUGUUAGCGCCUUGACGGUAUCUAACCAGAAAGCCACGGCUAACUACGUG
RNAcentral lists this ribosomal RNA (498 nucleotides) under uncultured bacterium. RNAcentral's name for it is "partial 16S ribosomal RNA". It matches the Rfam family "Bacterial small subunit ribosomal RNA", at positions 28 to 507 of the family's 1533-position model. The record is from RNAcentral.